Molecule: long non-coding RNA, 1501 nt
Filed under: Fragaria vesca (wild strawberry)
Lineage: Eukaryota; Viridiplantae; Streptophyta; Magnoliopsida; Rosales; Rosaceae
Description: long non-coding RNA (FVES_LNC004145)
Source: RNAcentral
AUAUAUAUAUAUAUAUAUAUAUAUAUAUAUAUAUUUUAAAGUAAUAAAUCAUUUAUAUAAAUGAAAUCUAGAAUGACGAGAUUACAAUGACCACAAAGAUCACAAUAGUGUCAUUACAUUAGACAUUUUGCUCACUUAUUGUGAGCUUAGUAGAGGGUAAAACUAGUCACAAACAAUAUACUAGAGAAACAUAAAAUCAGAACCAAGGCGCUCAAUUACAGUACUUCAAUCCCUAUGCAUUCAUCUUGUUGCAGCCAGCUCACACAGUCUGCCAAGCUAUCAAUGCCGCGACUUAAGCCAUAGUCAGGUUGAAAUCAAGCCUAACAACCCAAUUCCAAAACUGGCUUUUAGUGGGCUUGAGGCUAGACCCAGGCCCAAGAAACCGAGUCCUUCUCCAAACCCUAGCAUAUUGCAUCUUCGCUUGCCAACACCCGCCGCGACGAAUCCCACCGUCAACGUCAAAAUAGGCGCGUUCGCUAUGGCCUCCAUCUCCUACGGCUAUGACCUAACAACUUUUGGUGGAGCCACGUCCACCAUCUUUGACCCACUCAUCGGAAUCAUCACCUUGCCGACCUCAUUUGGGAGUUCAUCCUAACCUUCAAACAACAACCUGUCUUUGGUAUAACUCGCAAGCAGCUGCAUAGUCAUGGCCUUCUUCGUGGAGACGAAAUCAGCAACAACAAGAAGACAUUCAUGACUUCUCCAAUCACCAAUUCGAGAAGAUGGGCAUGGGUGAGCAAUUGUGGCCCAAACAUGGCCUUGGAGACAACAGAGGAUGGAGAACAAGUCCCCACUUAGGACUGGGACCAGAGAUGGUUGCCGGAUUAGAGAACUCAAGCCCUGGCGGCUAGGUUUUAGCUAGAGACACUAUUAGGACAAGCACUUUAGCCGACGAAAAAGUUUCGUCGGCCUGUCAGCUAAAUUCGUCGGCUAAAAUCUUAGCCGACGAGCCUUCGUCGGCUAUGGUUUCGUCGGGAAAGGGUCAUCGACGAUGACUUUAGCCGACGACCUUAGAAGACGUCGUCGGCUAUUAUCUAGGACAAUAGCCGACGAAUAUCUUAAAUGUUUCGUCGACCAUAGUCUGAGACUUUAGCCGACGACCAUAUUCGUCGGCUAAAGUAUGUAAUAAAAAAUUAAAAAAAUAACUAUAGCCGACGAAAUAUAGUCUAUUUCAUCGGCUAAACCUUAUAAAAAAAAUUUUAAAACGUCAUAAUUCGUCGGCUAAACCUAAUAAAAAAAUUAAAAAUACUAUAGCCAACGAAUAUCUUCAGCUAAAGUAUUUAAAUAUCGUCGGCUAAAGUUGCUGGUUUUUGAAAAAAAAAAACUACAGAAACUUUCGGCCACCUCCAAUCACCACCAAAAUUUGACAGAAUUUUCCUCUCAACAUUUCGAAAAACUUUCUAAAAGAAGUCGAAGCCUAAUUCUAAGUCUAAACAGGUCAAUUGAAUCAAAAUAUAAAAAAUUCCAAAAUUUUAAAACUUCAAAUCUUCGAUUCUCCUCA